RNAcentral lists this ribosomal RNA (253 nucleotides) under uncultured bacterium. RNAcentral describes it as "partial 16S ribosomal RNA". It matches the Rfam family "Bacterial small subunit ribosomal RNA", at positions 524 to 776 of the family's 1533-position model. The record is from RNAcentral.
GACGGAUGGGGCUAGCGUUAUUCGGAAUUACUGGGCGUAAAGGGCGCGUAGGCGGUCAAAUAAGUUAGGCGUGAAAGCCCUGGGCUUAACCUAGGAACUGCGCUUAAUACUGUUUGGCUAGAGUUUGGUAGAGGAAAGCGGAGUUCCUAGUGUAGAGGUGAAAUUCGUAGAUAUUAGGAAGAACACCAGAGGCGAAGGCGGCUUUCUGGACCAAUACUGACGCUGAGGCGCGAAAGCGUGGGGAGCAAACAGG